CGGCAACAGCUCAAAUUUGAAAUCUGGCUCUUUCAGAGUCCGAGUUGUAAUUUGUAGAGGAUGUCUCGGAGUUGGCUCCAGUCUAAGUCCCUUGGAACAGGGCGUCACAGAGGGUGAGAAUCCCGUACGUGGCCGGGGACCUUCUCCAUGUGAGACUCCUUC
Molecule: ribosomal RNA, 162 nt
Filed under: Ramalinaceae sp.
Lineage: Eukaryota; Fungi; Ascomycota; Lecanoromycetes; Lecanorales; Ramalinaceae
Description: partial large subunit ribosomal RNA
Rfam family: Eukaryotic large subunit ribosomal RNA
Source: RNAcentral